AUUGAACGCUGGCGGCAUGCCUUACACAUGCAAGUCGAACGGUAACGCGGGGCAACCUGGCGACGAGUGGCGAACGGGUGAGUAAUGUAUCGGAACGUGCCCAGUUGUGGGGGAUAACUGCUCGGAAGAGCAGCUAAUACCGCAUACGACCUGAGGGUGAAAGCGGGGGAUCGCAAGACCUCGCGCAAUUGGAGCGGCCGAUAUCAGAUUAGGUAGUUGGUGGGGUAAAGGCUCACCAAGCCAACGAUCUGUAGCUGGUCUGAGAGGACGACCAGCCGCACUGGUACUGAGACACGGCCCAGACUCCUACGGGAGGCAGCAGUGGGGAAUUUUGGACAAUGGACGCAAGUCUGAUCCAGCCAUGCCGCGUGCGGGAAGAGGGCCUUCGGGUUGUAAACCGCUUUUGUCAGGGAAGAAACGCUCUGGGUUAAUACCUCGGGGUAAUGACGGUACCUGAAGAAUAAGCACCGGCUAACUACGUGCCAGCCGCCGCCGUAA
This 498-nucleotide ribosomal RNA is filed under the name uncultured bacterium. Its description in RNAcentral is "partial 16S ribosomal RNA". It matches the Rfam family "Bacterial small subunit ribosomal RNA", at positions 30 to 523 of the family's 1533-position model. The record is from RNAcentral.